AUGGCGGCUCACCAUGUCGCCUUGUCUGUUCUCAUCCUUGCCGUCCCACUGCUCGCGCCCAGCGGCCUCGUCGCAGGAGAGCCGUGGUCAGUGUGCGGCGACAGCGGCGAAUACGACGACAAGAGCCAGUACCUGGCCAAGCUCAACCUCGUCGCCGCCGCGCUCCCCAAGAACGCCUCGGCGUCGCCCAACCUCUUCGCCACCGGCGAGGCCGGCGCCGUCCCGGAGAAGGUCACGGCCCUCGCGCUCUGCCGCGGCGACGCCAACUCCAGGGCCUGCUCCAGCUGCCUCGCCAACGCCUUCGCCAACCUCCCCAACGUCUGCCCCGGCUCCAAGGAAGCCGUCAUCUACUACGACGCCUGCAUGCUCCGCUACUCCGACAUCCAGUUCCUCUCCGCCGACGACUCCGGACCCCUGGGCGUGGAGCUCACCUACACGGUCCGCAACGACGCCAAUGCCACGUCGGAGCCGGCCCGGUACCAGCGCGCCGUGGCCACGCUCAUGAACGCCACCGCCGACUACGCCGCGUACAACUCCACGCGCCGGUACGCCACCGGCCAAGCCGACCUCGACCGGGAGUUCCCCAAGGUGUACAGCUGGGCGCAGUGCACCCCCGACCUCACGCCGGGACUGCCUCGCUCAGUUGAUCGCGCAGUUGCCGGUGCAGUUCACCGACAGUAUCGGGGGCAGGCUUCUUGGUCCCCGAUGCAGCUUCGAGUACGAGACCAAGCCCUUCAUCAAUGGCCCCGUGAUGGUGCAGCUGCCAGCAACGUCGCCGAGCUCUGGAGCGCCCAUGCCUCCUGCAUCGGCGACAGCAGAGGGGAGAAAGUACAGUGCUCCAGGCAUGGUUCUCAUAAUACUCUUGCCUACAAUAGCAGGCAUAAACCUCAUUGUUUGGCUCUUUUCAUGGAGGAAAGAAUCCUAGUCCGCAUGUAA
RNAcentral lists this ribosomal RNA (936 nucleotides) under Triticum aestivum (bread wheat). RNAcentral describes it as "partial small subunit ribosomal RNA". The record is from RNAcentral. Lineage: Eukaryota; Viridiplantae; Streptophyta; Magnoliopsida; Poales; Poaceae.